This 403-nucleotide ribosomal RNA is filed under the name bacterium. RNAcentral's name for it is "partial 16S ribosomal RNA". It matches the Rfam family "Bacterial small subunit ribosomal RNA", at positions 355 to 776 of the family's 1533-position model. The record is from RNAcentral. RNAcentral also lists the same sequence under 1 other name.
UGGGGAAUAUUGCACAAUGGAGGGAACUCUGAUGCAGCGACGCCGCGUGAACGAAGAAGGCUUUCGAGUCGUAAAGUUCUUUUAUAUGGGAAGAUAAUGACGGUACCAUAAGAAAAAGCCCCGGCUAACUACGUGCCAGCAGCCGCGGUAAUACGUAGGGGGCUAGCGUUGUCCGGAAUCACUGGGCGUAAAGGGUUCGCAGGCGGAAAUGCAAGUCAGGUGUAAAAGGCAGUAGCUUAACUACUGUAAGCAUUUGAAACUGCAUAUCCUGAGAAGAGUAGAGGUAAGUGGAAUUUUUAGUGUAGCGGUGAAAUGCGUAGAUAUUAAAAAGAAUACCGGUGGCGAAGGCGACUUACUGGGCUCAUUCUGACGCUGAGGAACGAAAGCGUGGGUAGCAAACAGG